RNAcentral lists this ribosomal RNA (1227 nucleotides) under Campylobacter jejuni. RNAcentral's name for it is "bacterial SSU rRNA". It matches the Rfam family "Bacterial small subunit ribosomal RNA", at positions 277 to 1524 of the family's 1533-position model. The record is from RNAcentral. Lineage: Bacteria; Pseudomonadati; Campylobacterota; Epsilonproteobacteria; Campylobacterales; Campylobacteraceae.
UGACGCUUAACUGGUCUGAGAGGAUGAUCAGUCACACUGGAACUGAGACACGGUCCAGACUCCUACGGGAGGCAGCAGUAGGGAAUAUUGCGCAAUGGGGGAAACCCUGACGCAGCAACGCCGCGUGGAGGAUGACACUUUUCGGAGCGUAAACUCCUUUUCUUAGGGAAGAAUUCUGACGGUACCUAAGGAAUAAGCACCGGCUAACUCCGUGCCAGCAGCCGCGGUAAUACGGAGGGUGCAAGCGUUACUCGGAAUCACUGGGCGUAAAGGGCGCGUAGGCGGAUUAUCAAGUCUCUUGUGAAAUCUAAUGGCUUAACCAUUAAACUGCUUGGGAAACUGAUAGUCUAGAGUGAGGGAGAGGCAGAUGGAAUUGGUGGUGUAGGGGUAAAAUCCGUAGAUAUCACCAAGAAUACCCAUUGCGAAGGCGAUCUGCUGGAACUCAACUGACGCUAAGGCGCGAAAGCGUGGGGAGCAAACAGGAUUAGAUACCCUGGUAGUCCACGCCCUAAACGAUGUACACUAGUUAUUGGGGUGCUAGUCAUCUCAGUAAUGCAGCUAACGCAUUAAGUGUACCGCCUGGGGAGUACGGUCGCAAGAUUAAAACUCAAAGGAAUAGACGGGGACCCGCACAAGCGGUGGAGCAUGUGGUUUAAUUCGAAGAUACGCGAAGAACCUUACCUGGGCUUGAUAUCCUAAGAACCUUUUAGAGAUAAGAGGGUGCUAGCUUGCUAGAACUUAGAGACAGGUGCUGCACGGCUGUCGUCAGCUCGUGUCGUGAGAUGUUGGGUUAAGUCCCGCAACGAGCGCAACCCACGUAUUUAGUUGCUAACGGUUCGGCCGAGCACUCUAAAUAGACUGCCUUCGUAAGGAGGAGGAAGGUGUGGACGACGUCAAGUCAUCAUGGCCCUUAUGCCCAGGGCGACACACGUGCUACAAUGGCAUAUACAAUGAGACGCAAUACCGCGAGGUGGAGCAAAUCUAUAAAAUAUGUCCCAGUUCGGAUUGUUCUCUGCAACUCGAGAGCAUGAAGCCGGAAUCGCUAGUAAUCGUAGAUCAGCCAUGCUACGGUGAAUACGUUCCCGGGUCUUGUACUCACCGCCCGUCACACCAUGGGAGUUGAUUUCACUCGAAGCCGGAAUACUAAACUAGUUACCGUCCACAGUGGAAUCAGCGACUGGGGUGAAGUCGUAACAAGGUAACCGUAGGAGAACCUGCGGUUGGAUC